RNAcentral lists this ribosomal RNA (254 nucleotides) under uncultured bacterium. RNAcentral's name for it is "partial 16S ribosomal RNA". It matches the Rfam family "Bacterial small subunit ribosomal RNA", at positions 524 to 776 of the family's 1533-position model. The record is from RNAcentral.
UACGAAGGGGGCUAGCGUUGUUCGGAAUCACUGGGAGUAAAGCGCACGUAGGCGGAUCGUUAAGUCGGGGGUGAAAUCCCGAGGCUCAACCUCGGAACUGCCUUCGAUACUGGCGAUCUUCGAGUCCGGGAGAGGUGAGUGGAACUCCGAGUGUAUAGGUGAAAUUAGUAGAUAUUCGGAAGAACACCAGUGGCGAAGGCGGCUCACUGGCCCGGUACUGACGCUGAGGUGCGAAAUCGUGGGGAGCAAACAGG